RNAcentral lists this transfer RNA (73 nucleotides) under Deltaproteobacteria bacterium. RNAcentral's name for it is "tRNA-Ala". It matches the Rfam family "tRNA". From Rfam's summary of the family: Transfer RNA (tRNA) molecules are approximately 80 nucleotides in length. Their secondary structure includes four short double-helical elements and three loops (D, anti-codon, and T loops). The record is from RNAcentral. Lineage: Bacteria; Pseudomonadati; Myxococcota; Myxococcia.
GCCCUCGUAGCUCAAUGGAUCGAGCAGCGCCAUUGCGAAGCGUUAGACCCCGGUUCGACCCCGGGCGAGGGCA